Small nuclear RNA from Aotus nancymaae (Ma's night monkey), 107 nucleotides. Lineage: Eukaryota; Metazoa; Chordata; Mammalia; Primates; Aotidae. The record is from Ensembl.
GUUCUCACUUUGGCAGCACAUAUACUAAACCUGAAAUGAUACAGAGAAGAUUGUUAUAGCCCCUGUACAAGGAUGACAUGCAAAUUUGUGAAGUGUUCUGUAUUUCU